UUGUGUUCUGCGGGUGGUUUGUAAGCCUGUGAUAAAGAAUUCACCCAUGAAUAUAAUUCAAAACUGCAUGAGUCAUACACUAAACAUACAUCCAAGAACCUCACGAAAUCUUCAGGAAGCUUAUCAUCACAGACAUGUGGAAACAUCAGUGUACAGGAAUGGCACUGAAUUAAGUACACUCCUGGACAAGUGACAAUAAUGAAGCCACCCUAAACAAGUCAAGUGCUCGAACCAGUUUAAACUGAAUGCCACGAUCGUCAGGCACCAGAGUGAUACGCCUCUGAAAGCCUGCUUGGGAUAAUAAUCAACCUAUUAAGGAAAUAUGUUCCACGUUGGGAAGACUUUCUUAUAGUAAACCACAGUUAACGGCAAAAAGCAAUCCAGCAGGCCCGCAGCAGC
Long non-coding RNA from Ailuropoda melanoleuca (giant panda), 399 nucleotides. RefSeq lists it as uncharacterized. The record is from RefSeq and is a predicted model, not a curated record. The transcript has 3 exons. NCBI's taxonomy places the organism in Eukaryota, Metazoa, Chordata, Mammalia, Carnivora, Ursidae.